This 285-nucleotide ribosomal RNA is filed under the name Proteus mirabilis. RNAcentral's name for it is "partial 23S ribosomal RNA". It matches the Rfam family "Bacterial large subunit ribosomal RNA", at positions 1 to 287 of the family's 2925-position model. The record is from RNAcentral. Lineage: Bacteria; Pseudomonadati; Pseudomonadota; Gammaproteobacteria; Enterobacterales; Morganellaceae.
GGUUAAGCGAAUAAGCGUACACGGUGGAUGCCUAGGCAAUCAGAGGCGAUGAAGGACGUGCUAAUCUGCGAAAAGCGUCGGUAAGGUGAUAUGAACCGUUACACCCGACGAUAUCCGAAUGGGGAAACCCAGUAUCCAAUGGAUACUAUCAUUAACUGAAUCCAUAGGUUAAUGAGGCGAACCGGGAGAACUGAAACAUCUCAGUACCCCGAGGAAAAGAAAUCAACCGAGAUUCCCCUAGUAGCGGCGAGCGAACGGGGAGCAGCCCAGAGUCUUAAUCAAUAA